AAGACUAUAGACCUGCGGAGUACCUGCGGAAGGAUCAUUAAAGAGUUUAACUACUCAAACCAUUGUGAACCUUACCUCAACCGUUGCUUCGGCGGGCGGGCCCGGGCCAAGCCCGGCGCCCCCCCGGCCCCUCGCGGGCGCCCGCCGGAGGUUAACCGAACCCUUGAACUGUAUGGCCUCUCUGAGUCUUCUGUACUGAAUAAGUCAAAACUUUCAACAAUGGAUCUCUAGAUCGGAAGA
Molecule: unclassified non-coding RNA, 240 nt
Filed under: soil metagenome
Description: partial contains 5.8S ribosomal RNA, internal transcribed spacer 2, and large subunit ribosomal RNA
Source: RNAcentral